RNAcentral lists this ribosomal RNA (409 nucleotides) under bacterium enrichment culture clone ALO1_GLFRUDD03G1FOT. Its description in RNAcentral is "bacterial SSU rRNA". It matches the Rfam family "Bacterial small subunit ribosomal RNA", at positions 9 to 420 of the family's 1533-position model. The record is from RNAcentral.
GAGUUUGAUCUUGGCUCAGAUUGAACGCUGGCGGCAGGCCUAACACAUGCAAGUCGAGCGGAUGACGGGAGCUUGCUCCUUGAUUCAGCGGCGGACGGGUGAGUAAUGCCUGGGAAUCUGCCUGGUAGUGGGGGACAACGUUUCGAAAGGAACGCUAAUACCGCAUACGUCCUACGGGAGAAAGCAGGGGACCUUCGGGCCUUGCGCUAUCAGAUGAGCCUAGGUCGGAUUAGCUAGUUGGUGGGGUAAUGGCUCACCAAGGCGACGAUCCGUAACUGGUCUGAGAGGAUGAUCAGUCACACUGGAACUGAGACACGGUCCAGACUCCUACGGGAGGCAGCAGUGGGGAAUAUUGGACAAUGGGGGCAACCCUGAUCCAGCCAUGCCGCGUGAGUGAAGAAGGCCUCGG